AGGACGAACGCUGGCGGCGUGCCUAAUACAUGCAAGUCGAACGGCUUUUCUAUGGAAGCUUGCUUCCACUGAGAAGAUAGUGGCGAACGGGUGAGUAACACGUGGGUAACCUGCCCAUAAGAGGGGGAUAACAUCCGGAAACGGGUGCUAAUACCGCAUAGUUUUCUUGAUUGCAUGAUUGAGAAGGAAAGACGGCCUUUGUGCUGUCGCUUAUGGAUGGACCCGCGGCGUAUUAGUUAGUUGGUGAGGUAACGGCUCACCAAGACGAUGAUACGUAGCCGACCUGAGAGGGUGAUCGGCCACAUUGGGACUGAGACACGGCCCAAACUCCUACGGGAGGCAGCAGUAGGGAAUCUUCCGCAAUGGACGAAAGUCUGACGGAGCAACGCCGCGUGAGUGAAGAAAAGGUUUUCGGAUCGUAAAACUCUGUUGUCAGAGAAGAACAAGUUGGAGAGUAACUGCUCCAGCCUUGACGGUAUCUGACCAGAAAGCCACGGCUAACUACGUGCCAGCCGCUGC
Molecule: ribosomal RNA, 519 nt
Filed under: uncultured bacterium
Lineage: Bacteria
Description: bacterial SSU rRNA
Rfam family: Bacterial small subunit ribosomal RNA
Source: RNAcentral